Molecule: long non-coding RNA, 350 nt
Organism: Zophobas morio
Lineage: Eukaryota; Metazoa; Arthropoda; Insecta; Coleoptera; Tenebrionidae
Exons: 5
Source: RefSeq, a predicted model, not a curated record
CAAAUCAGUAGCUUAUUAUUUUACGGCUCUGAAGUUGCAGGAUGAGAUACAAUACGGUAAAGCAAUUGCUUAUUUAAAAGUCGCUGAGGUUGCAAUAAAGGAAUCAGUGAAACCUGCAAAGCUUUGCGGCUUAAAUAUUCAGAAAUUUUCACAACAACUUGUCCAACAUUUGGAACACUCAGUUUCUGAGAAUAACAGGAUAUAUAACGAUCACGUACCAAAACUGGAAUUGGCGGAUGUCCCGCCUGCAAGAAGUAUGGUAAAUCCACUUCCCGUAACUAUCGAAUCCGACUCUCCUGACUACUUUGCCGCGUUGGUUCCGCUUUCCGCUCGAAAUCUUUUUGCUCGCU